UGGGGAAUUUUGGACAAUGGGGGCAACCCUGAUCCAGCAACGCCGCGUGAAUGAAGAAGGCCUUAGGGUUGUAAAGUUCUUUUAUCUGUGAGCAAAGCGCUGAUGUUAACAGCAUGAGUGUAUGAGAGUAGCAGAAGAAUAAGCACCGGCUAACUACGUGCCAGCAGCCGCGGUAAUACGUAGGGUGCGAGCGUUAAUCGGAAUUACUGGGCGUAAAGGGUGCGCAGGCGGAUAUGUAAGUUAGAUGUGAAAUCCCCGAGCUUAACUUGGGAAUGGCAUUUAAGACUGCAUGUCUAGAGUUUGUCAGAGGGGGGUAGAAUUCCAAGUGUAGCAGUGAAAUGCGUAGAGAUUUGGAGGAAUACCGGUGGCGAAGGCGACCCCCUGGGAUAAAACUGACGCU
Molecule: ribosomal RNA, 400 nt
Filed under: uncultured bacterium
Lineage: Bacteria
Description: bacterial SSU rRNA
Rfam family: Bacterial small subunit ribosomal RNA
Source: RNAcentral